GAGGAAUAUUGGUCAAUGGGCGCGAGCCUGAACCAGCCAAGUAGCGUGAAGGAUGACUGCCCUAUGGGUUGUAAACUUCUUUUAUAAGGGAAUAAAGUGAGGCACGUGUGCCUUAUUGUAUGUACCUUAGGAAUAAGCAUCGGCUAACUACGUGCCAGCAGCCGCGGUAAUACGUAGGUGGCAAGCGUUGUCCGGAAUUAUUGGGCGUAAAGCGCGCGCAGGUGGUUUCUUAAGUCUGAUGUGAAAGCCCACGGCUUAACCGUGGAGGGUCAUUGGAAACUGGGAGACUUGAGUGCAGAAGAGGAAAGUGGAAUUCCAAGUGUAGCGGUGAAAUGCGUAGAGAUUUGGAGGAACACCAGUGGCGAAGGCGACUUUCUGGUCUGCAACUGACGCUGAGGCGCGAAAGCCAGGGAAGUGAACG
RNAcentral lists this ribosomal RNA (421 nucleotides) under uncultured Caryophanales bacterium. RNAcentral's name for it is "bacterial SSU rRNA". It matches the Rfam family "Bacterial small subunit ribosomal RNA", at positions 356 to 774 of the family's 1533-position model. Lineage: Bacteria; Bacillati; Bacillota; Bacilli; Caryophanales. The record is from RNAcentral.